Molecule: ribosomal RNA, 252 nt
Filed under: uncultured Bacteroidales bacterium
Lineage: Bacteria; Pseudomonadati; Bacteroidota; Bacteroidia; Bacteroidales
Description: partial 16S ribosomal RNA
Rfam family: Bacterial small subunit ribosomal RNA
Source: RNAcentral
UACGGAGGAUGCGAGCGUUAUCCGGAUUUAUUGGGUUUAAAGGGUGCGUAGGCGGGCUGUUAAGUCAGCUGUCAAAGCCCGGGGCUCAACCUCGGCCCGCCGUUGAAACUGGCAGUCUCGAGUUGGAGAGAAGUAUGCGGAAUGCGCGGUGUAGCGGUGAAAUGCAUAGAUAUCACGCAGAACUCCGAUUGCGAAGGCAGCAUACCGGCGGCGAUCUGACGCUGAGGCACGAAAGCGUGGGUAUCGAACAGG